UCAUCUGACUUUGGAACAUACACAGUAGCUAUGUGUGUAUUCCUUCUCAGUCAGAAUCUGGUCCACUUUUGUCCUAAUUCUCUGGGGACAUUAAAAUCAAGCUGCAAAGAGACCGGGGAGUUAGAAACAGUAAUGGUUUGUCCAGAGGGCUGUGGAAUCCUGAGUUUAUCCCAGAACUUGGAGCUUUGCUUCCAGGAACCAGGUUACCACUUUGUGCCCUCCCAGGGAGGGUCCCAAGCAGCAGCGUGAUCUUAGCGACUUCCAAAUUGGUCCUAUAUGGGCCAGGGCAGGAUUAAAAAUAAACCUCUCCUGCUUAAGGUUGGCCCGAGAGUGUGAGUGAAUGACUUUAUGGUCUUUCCCUAAACAUUGAGCUUGUGUAAGAAAUGAAAUCUUAGCUUCUUUCAGGGCAUUUGGACAGUAAGCUGGGGCCUGCGUGGGUACAAGGAAUUUCUGCCAAGAUUUAUUCCCAGCUGUGUUUGCUUUUGCAAGAACAGGAAAAAGGAGUUAAUUUGCUGCGGAUUCCAAAACACUGUUAGGACCCUCACAGGAAAAGCAAAGUUCAGCUGAAAUACUUUCUGCCCUGUGAUCCUGGCAAAGGUCAAUUCUAUUCUUUUUUCCUUUGGCUAAUUCUAUUCUUUAAGGAAAGUAGCUCUCAGAAAACUUGGGUCAAAGCUCUAUCAUUGCCCAACUCUUUUCUUCGAUUAGUCUGCUCUUCCUGGUUAUAAAGACCUUUGGACCUGAAAGACCAAUGUUUGGCCAUUUAAUAUAUAUGUAUAUAUAUAUAUAUAUGUAUAUAUAUAUAUGUAUAUAUAUGUAUAUAUAUAUUUGCUAUUUUUAUUAUUGAGAUCUGUUUUGUGAGGGUUUGGGGUGCAGAAGACUUUGAUUAAUGAUGUUUUCGAUGGGAGGAGGUGACCUGAUUAUCUGUGUGAGCAGACUUCCAUGGAACAGAAGUGAUGUCUUUAUGGUAAUAACAAUGGUCAUUAAACCCGAGUGACUUGAGCUGUGUUUCCUUAAUGGUGGUGUCUAUACGUCUGGACACAAGUAGAGUGUGAAAGUAAAUGGUGAAUGAAAAGGCUAGAUAUAUAGUUCUUUAUAUUGAUCUUUGAGCUCGAAUCCAUAUUCCAUUAUGUUAAUCCAUGAGCUUUACUCCAGGGAGGGAUACCUCAGGGCUUUAACUGCCUGACAUAUAACAAAUUUCUUAGGUUGGGAUUGCGUGUGUGCGUGCGUGCGUGCGUGCAUGGUGUGUGUGGUGCGUGUGGUGUGCGUGUGUGUGUGGUGUGUGUGUGUGUGUGUGUGUGUGUGUGUGUGUGUAUG
RNAcentral lists this long non-coding RNA (1314 nucleotides) under Rattus norvegicus (Norway rat). RNAcentral describes it as "long non-coding RNA NONRATT021282". Lineage: Eukaryota; Metazoa; Chordata; Mammalia; Rodentia; Muridae. The record is from RNAcentral.